Molecule: transfer RNA, 85 nt
Filed under: Felis catus (domestic cat)
Lineage: Eukaryota; Metazoa; Chordata; Mammalia; Carnivora; Felidae
Rfam family: tRNA
About the family: Transfer RNA (tRNA) molecules are approximately 80 nucleotides in length. Their secondary structure includes four short double-helical elements and three loops (D, anti-codon, and T loops). Further hydrogen bonds mediate the characteristic L-shaped molecular structure. tRNAs have two regions of fundamental functional importance: the anti-codon, which is responsible for specific mRNA codon recognition, and the 3' end, to which the tRNAs corresponding amino acid is attached (by aminoacyl-tRNA synthetases). tRNAs cope with the degeneracy of the genetic code in two manners: having more than one tRNA (with a specific anti-codon) for a particular amino acid; and 'wobble' base-pairing, i.e. permitting non-standard base-pairing at the 3rd anti-codon position.
Source: Rfam by way of RNAcentral
GCCUGGGUGGCUCAGUCAGUUAAGCGUCCGACUUCGGCUCAGGUCAUGAUCUCGCAGUUUGUGGGUUCGAGUCCCGCAUCAGGCU